Molecule: ribosomal RNA, 697 nt
Filed under: Clostridioides difficile
Lineage: Bacteria; Bacillati; Bacillota; Clostridia; Peptostreptococcales; Peptostreptococcaceae
Description: bacterial LSU rRNA
Rfam family: Bacterial large subunit ribosomal RNA
Source: RNAcentral
GCCAACGAGUUACGUUAAGUAGCAAGGUUAAGCACUUAAGGUGUGGAGCCGUAGCGAAAGCGAGUUUUAACUGAGCGUUCAGUUACUUGACGUAGACCCGAAACCGGGCGACCUACCCAUGAGCAGGCUGAAGCGAAAGUAAAAUUUCGUGGAGGUCCGAACCCACGAGCGUUGAAAAGCUCGGGGAUGACUUGUGGGUAGCGGUGAAAUUCCAAUCGAGCCCGGAGAUAGCUGGUUCUCCCCGAAAUAGCUUUAGGGCUAGCCUCAAGGUGAGAGAUACGGAGGUAGAGCACUGAAUGUCCUAGGGGGUAUUGCACCUACCGAAGACUAUCAAACUCCGAAUGCCGUCAUCUUAUACUUGGGAGUCAGACUGUGGGUGAUAAGAUUCAUAGUCGAAAGGGCAACAGCCCAGAUCGUCAGCUAAGGUCCCUAAAUGUAAGUUAAGUGGUAAAGGAUGUGGGAUUGCACAGACAACCAGGAUGUUGGCUUAGAAGCAGCCACUCAUUCAAAGAGUGCGUAAUAGCUCACUGGUCGAGUGAUCCUGCGCCGAAGAUUUCCGGGGCUAAAACUUACUACCGAAGCUACGGCAUCAGUAAUGAUGGGUAGGGGAGCUUCCCAUACGGGUUGAAGCAUGACCGUAAGGACAUGUGGACAGUAUGGGAGUGAGAAUGUUGGCAUGAGUAGCGAGAUGUGGGUG